Macaca mulatta (Rhesus monkey) is the source of this 496-nucleotide long non-coding RNA. The record is from Ensembl. Lineage: Eukaryota; Metazoa; Chordata; Mammalia; Primates; Cercopithecidae.
UAAAAGCACUCAGCAGAAUGCCAGACGCUUGCUAGAUAUAUAGUACAUGGCAGUACAUUAUUGUUAUUACUACUGUUAUAACUCCUUAUGGAAUUUUCCAAGUCAUGAGUGUACUUUCCUCUUGCAGAUUAUCUGAGUAGGCUGAAUGAUCGGUGAAAAGGAGGCCAAGCAUCUCAAAAAUAGGACACCUGAGAGUAUGAAGCCAAUGUGACACUCAGGACCCAAAGAAGAACAUAUAUUCUGCAGUUGUCUCCAUAAAACUGAUUACAUGUGGUUAUGGUUAAGAGUAUGUCAUACAGAGCUGUACUGAAAUAUAUGUCCUGCUGCUUCCUAACUAGCUAUGUGAAAUUGGGUGCCUGCCCAUUCAACACUAUGAAAACUUCCACCUGCUGAUAAAGAAAGAAGCAGACAUCAAUGGAAAGACAGCAUCUUGCUCCCACUGUCUCCUCAAGCUCUUCCAGGCUAGAUAAAGCUCAGGCCUGACUACUCUGCCAGA